GGCAAUGUGGCUCAAUGGUAGAGCACUUGCCUUGCAUGCCUGAGGCCCUGGGUUCGAUUCCCCAGCACCA
RNAcentral lists this transfer RNA (70 nucleotides) under Dipodomys ordii (Ord's kangaroo rat). It matches the Rfam family "tRNA". Rfam says of the family: Transfer RNA (tRNA) molecules are approximately 80 nucleotides in length. Their secondary structure includes four short double-helical elements and three loops (D, anti-codon, and T loops). Lineage: Eukaryota; Metazoa; Chordata; Mammalia; Rodentia; Heteromyidae. The record is from Rfam by way of RNAcentral.